RNAcentral lists this ribosomal RNA (231 nucleotides) under uncultured bacterium. RNAcentral's name for it is "partial 16S ribosomal RNA". It matches the Rfam family "Bacterial small subunit ribosomal RNA", at positions 103 to 334 of the family's 1533-position model. The record is from RNAcentral.
CGGGUGAGUAACACGUAUCCAACCUGCCGUCUACUCUUGGACAGCCUUCUGAAAGGAAGAUUAAUACAAGAUGGCAUCAUGAGUUCACAUGUUCACAUGAUUAAAGGUAUUCCGGUAGACGAUGGGGAUGCGUUCCAUUAGAUAGUAGGCGGAGUGACGGCCCACCUAGUCUUCGAUGGAUAGGGGUUCUGAGAGGAAGGUCCCCCACAUUGGAACUGAGACACGGUCCAA